RNAcentral lists this ribosomal RNA (500 nucleotides) under uncultured bacterium. RNAcentral describes it as "partial 16S ribosomal RNA". It matches the Rfam family "Bacterial small subunit ribosomal RNA", at positions 30 to 523 of the family's 1533-position model. The record is from RNAcentral.
AUUGAACGCUGGCGGAAUGCUUUACACAUGCAAGUCGAACGGCAGCACGGACUUCGGUCUGGUGGCGAGUGGCGAACGGGUGAGUAAUGUAUCGGAACGUGCCCAGUCGUGGGGGAUAACGUAGUGAAAAUUACGCUAAUACCGCAUACGAUCUAUGGAUGAAAGCGGGGGAUCGCAAGACCUCGCGCGAUUGGAGCGGCCGAUAUCAGAUUAGGUAGUUGGUGGGGUAAAGGCCCACCAAGCCAACGAUCUGUAGCUGGUCUGAGAGGACGACCAGCCACGCUGGAACUGAGACACGGUCCAGACUCCUGCGGGAGGCAGCAGUGGGGAAUUUUGGACAAUGGGCGAAAGCCUGAUCCAGCCAUUCCGCGUGCAGGAUGAAGGCCCUCGGGAUGUAAACUGCUUUUGUACAGAACGAAAAGGUUUCUACUAAUACUAGGAGCUCAUGACGGUACUGUAAGAAUAAGCACUGGCUAACUACGUGCCAGCCGCCGCAGUAA